This 905-nucleotide long non-coding RNA is filed under the name Drosophila guanche. Lineage: Eukaryota; Metazoa; Arthropoda; Insecta; Diptera; Drosophilidae. The record is from RNAcentral.
CCUCUUGAUGCAUAUUCUCUUGCGCCUGCGCUCUCGAAAAGACCAACAUAAUAAAAAGUUAUGAAUUGCAUUUCCAACUCCACUACCACUCACCAUGCCGUUGUUCUACCCACUAUAUCCAAACGUUAACAAAUGAUCACCACAUGCCAUACGCACAUACCAUCUCAACUUAACCGCUAUGACUCCUCAUCAUGAUUAGUAUUCCGAUAUCUAGUAUAUCCCCUUUUAUCUCGUUUAAAUGAUUAUUUAUGUACACUUAUGAUCACUACGACAGAUUAGCAGCUCCAAGUCAACAAAACGUAAAAAUGCUUGAAUCACGAAAUCAUACAAAAUUCAUCGGCUUGCUAAACCACUUUCACUUAAUAUCACAUUUACGCCCUCUGCCAGGCAGAAUAUGUGAGGAUAUAUUUGGGGACUGGCCCAUACGUCGCUAAAUUAGUAACAUAGAGGAUUGUAUUUUGGUUUUGUACCAAGAGUAAUGCAAACCUCACAGGCAUCUGUACAACUAUUUUCUAAGCUAUAUAUCAUUAAGACACGUGGCUUUUAAUGCGUUUUCAUGCGCUAGUGAAAAUGAAAUUUACUGCUCUUUUUGCGUAGUCAGUUACUGAUGUACUACCUGAGCUAUAUGCUUAUUAUUAUUAUUAUUAUUUUUUACCCUUCUGUAUUCUAGUUACCCAGCAUCAGAGCCUGUUUAAAGGAUGAGAAGAUCGCAUUUUCCACUUCAAAUAAACUUUUCCCUUCUCCAAAAAGUAUUAAAAGAAAAAAAAGUGCUGGUAUGUGUUCGUUAUGGUUUCAAGGACUGACACUCGGUAAUUGUGGUAAAAAUGUUUCCAAAAAAGGAUCCAACAAUAAAUACAAUGGCAGCUAAAAGCAUAGGCACAGCGUCAAAGACGUAGAUGAAAUAU